GUCCCCAUCGUCUAGAGGCUUAGGACAUUGCCCUUUCACGGCAGUAACACCGGUUCGAAUCCGGUUGGGGACG
This 73-nucleotide transfer RNA is filed under the name Coxiellaceae bacterium. RNAcentral describes it as "tRNA-Glu". It matches the Rfam family "tRNA". From Rfam's summary of the family: Transfer RNA (tRNA) molecules are approximately 80 nucleotides in length. Their secondary structure includes four short double-helical elements and three loops (D, anti-codon, and T loops). The record is from RNAcentral. Lineage: Bacteria; Pseudomonadati; Pseudomonadota; Gammaproteobacteria; Legionellales; Coxiellaceae.